AAGAGACAGCAGCAGCCGCGGGAAUACGUAGGUGGCAAGCGUUGUCCGGGAUUAUUGGGCGUAAAGGGCUCGCAGGCGGUUUCUUAAGUCUGAUGUGAAAGCCCCCGGCUCAACCGGGGAGGGUCAUUGGAAACUGGGAAACUUGAGUGCAGAAGAGGAGAGUGGAAUUCCACGUGUAGCGGUGAAAUGCGUAGAGAUGUGGAGGAACACCAGUGGCGAAGGCGACUCUCUGGUCUGUAACUGACGCUGAGGAGCGAAAGCGUGGGGAGCGAACAGGAUUAGAUACCCCGGUAGUCCCUGUCUCUUAUAC
RNAcentral lists this ribosomal RNA (310 nucleotides) under uncultured bacterium. RNAcentral's name for it is "partial 16S ribosomal RNA". It matches the Rfam family "Bacterial small subunit ribosomal RNA", at positions 503 to 807 of the family's 1533-position model. The record is from RNAcentral.